CUAGAUCUAGCUGCUAUUGAGGCUCCAUCUACAAAUGGAUAAGACUUUAGUCUUAGUCUAGACCUUUUUUUGUAAAUAAAGGAGCAAUAAUCAACUUCUUCUUAUUCUUAUAUUAAGAAGAUUGAUAUUGCUCCUUUAUAUUCAAUAAUAUUAUUUAUUUGAUAUGAGUAUCCUACUUUUGUUAUCUACUAACGUUAUGUACUAAUAUUUUUUUAUAACUAAGUUUUUACCAAUUUUAUUUUUUAUAAAUAAAAUAGUAAUAAAAAAAAAUAGUAGGGGCGGAUGUAGCCAAGUGGAUCAAGGCAGUGGAUUGUGAAUCCACCAUGCGC
Molecule: unclassified non-coding RNA, 329 nt
Filed under: Codonocarpus attenuatus
Lineage: Eukaryota; Viridiplantae; Streptophyta; Magnoliopsida; Brassicales; Gyrostemonaceae
Description: partial miscellaneous RNA
Rfam family: tRNA (bases 279-329)
Source: RNAcentral